AGGGUGAACGCUGGCGGCGCGCUUAAUGCAUGCAAGUCGAACGUGCCUUCGGGCAAGUGGCAGACGGCUGAGUAACGCGUGAGUAACACACCCUCCGGUGGGGUAUAGCCUCGGGAAACUGAGGGUAAUCCCGCAUAAGAUCCCUAGACCCUGGUUUAGGGAUGAAAGCCUUCGGGCGCCGGAGGAGUGGCUCGCGUCCUAUCAGGUAGUUGGCGGGGUAACGGCCCACCAAGCCGAUGACGGGUAGCUGGUCUUAGAGGACGAUCAGCCAGAGGGGGACUGAGACACGGCCCCCACUCCUACGGGAGGCAGCAGCAGGGAAUUUUGGGCAAUGGACGAAAGUCUGACCCAGCGACGUCGCGUGGGGGAUGAAGGCUCUAGGGCUGUAAACCCCUUUUCCGAGGGAAGAGGAAGGACGGUACCUCGGGAAUAAGCUCCGGCUAACUACGUGCCAGCAGCCGCGGUAAUACGUAGGGAGCGAGCGUUACCCGGAAUUACUGGGCGUAAAGAGCACGUAGGCGGUUGGAUAAGUCCUCUGUGAAAGCUCCUGGCUCAACUGGGAGAGGUCAGGGGAUACUAUUCGACUUGAGGGCUGUAGAGGUAAGCGGAGUUCCCGGUGUAGCGGUGAAAUGCGUAGAUAUCGGGAGGAACACCAGCGGCGAAAGCGGCUUACUGGGCAGUGCCUGACGCUGAGGUGCGAGAGCGUGGGGAGCAAACUGGAUUAGAUACCCAGGUAGUCCACGCCCUAAACGAUGAAUACUAGAUAUAGGAGGUAUCGACCCCCCCUGUGUCGCAGCUAACGCGAUAAGUAUUCCGCCUGGGGAGUACGGCCGCAAGGUUA
Molecule: ribosomal RNA, 841 nt
Filed under: uncultured bacterium
Lineage: Bacteria
Description: bacterial SSU rRNA
Rfam family: Bacterial small subunit ribosomal RNA
Source: RNAcentral